Molecule: ribosomal RNA, 494 nt
Filed under: uncultured bacterium
Lineage: Bacteria
Description: partial 16S ribosomal RNA
Rfam family: Bacterial small subunit ribosomal RNA
Source: RNAcentral
GACGAACGCUGGCGGCGUGCUUAACACAUGCAAGUCGAACGGUGAAGCGCCUUCCUUUUUGGUGGGUGUGGAUGAGUGGCGAACGGGUGAGUAACACGUGAGUAACCUGCCCCCUUCUUCUGGAUAACCGCAUGAAAGUGUGGCUAAUACGGGAUAUUCUGGGUCUGUCGCAUGAUGGGUCUGGGAAAGAUAUUGCUUCGGUGGGGGAUGGGCUCGCGGCCUAUCAUCUUGUUGGUGGGGUGAUGGCCUACCAAGGCGGUGUCGGGUAGCCGGCCUGAGAGGGUGGACGGUCACACUGGGACUGAGACACGGCCCAGACUCCUACGGGAGGCAGCGGUGGGGAAUAUUGCACAAUGGGCGCAAGCCUGAUGCAGCGACGCCGCGUGAGAGAUGGAGGCCUGCGGGUUGUGAACCUCUUUCGCCAGUGAAGCAGGCCUGCCUCGUUUGUGGGUGGGUUGACGGUAGCUGGAGAAGAAGCGCCGGCUAACUACGUG